Molecule: long non-coding RNA, 207 nt
Filed under: Homo sapiens (human)
Lineage: Eukaryota; Metazoa; Chordata; Mammalia; Primates; Hominidae
Description: HSALNT0049872
Source: RNAcentral
CUCAUUUGUAAAUAUAAAUUUGUCUCAAAAGAUCAACAUGAUACAUCCAUGAAGUCACUAAGUUGAUUGGUAUAAUGGGUGUCCAAAUUAUGACAGUCAGACGUUUAAUUCAUCCUAGUUGAGCUAAACUGAAAGGCCGAUGUUGCUGGCCUCUGUUAUUGGAGAGGCAGAGUGGGCAGGCAGUGGAGCACUGCAGCUGCACCUCCG